RNAcentral lists this unclassified non-coding RNA (649 nucleotides) under Hevea brasiliensis (rubber tree). The record is from RNAcentral. Lineage: Eukaryota; Viridiplantae; Streptophyta; Magnoliopsida; Malpighiales; Euphorbiaceae.
CUUGGUGCCAAUAGGUCCUUAGAAAAAUUUAAAGCCUGUUGUCUUUUUAAGAAAUUCAAACAACAGGUUCUCAACGGUCUUCCCUAAGAAAUCAGCGAGAAGAUCAUACAAAACAUCACUCAAUCUAGAGCACAAGAGCAACUGGAUUUAUUCAAAACCUGUCUCCAUUUCACAAAGAACAAUCAGCAAAAUUACAAUGGAUGGUCAUGGGAAUGGCAAUUUCAUUCAAAACCCCAUUUCUAUCGCACCUUGGAGCACUCUCAAAGGACUCCUCUUUGCUAUCCAAAUUGUGAACGCAGCCUAGAUUUCAGUAUUCCUCAUUUCACAGCAGCUUGGAUAUCUGGAAUUCGAUUUCUAGAUCCGAGAAAGCUAUUUAAAUAGGGAAUGUUAGCUGGAGUCAGGAUUACAAAAUCUGAUUGUGAAGCGGCUAGGUUCUUGGAAAAUAGAGUUCAUCGAGAAGUCAGAAAAUUUCUACUUUCUCAAAAACAAGUCAAUGUAAACAUCAUCUCAACACCCCCAGAAGUAUUAGUAAAUGGAGAGCUUCAACAAGCAAUUCAUUGCUUUUACCUGGAUAUAAAAAUUCCUCCAUUUUUACCUCUUUCAAACUGACCAUGUAAUCAUGAAGACCAUCUUACUCAACUCAACAAAU